UACAGAGACCUCAAGCGUUUAUCCGGAAUCAUUGGGCGUAAAGCGUACCGAUCGGUGGUUAAGAAAGUCAGAAAGUGGAAAUCUCUCAGCUUAACUGGGAGACUGUCUUUUGAAACUUCUUAAACUCGGAGGGGCAAAGAGGAACGUCUGGAACGAACGGUGUAGUAGUAGAAAUGCGUUGAUAUCGUCGGAACACCAAUAGCGAAGGCAGGC
This 213-nucleotide ribosomal RNA is filed under the name uncultured bacterium. RNAcentral describes it as "partial 16S ribosomal RNA". It matches the Rfam family "Bacterial small subunit ribosomal RNA", at positions 524 to 725 of the family's 1533-position model. The record is from RNAcentral.